Molecule: long non-coding RNA, 1623 nt
Organism: Neopsephotus bourkii (Bourke's parrot)
Lineage: Eukaryota; Metazoa; Chordata; Aves; Psittaciformes; Psittacidae
Exons: 7
Source: RefSeq, a predicted model, not a curated record
AGGCUGUCAUUCCAGCCCUGCAUCCCUAAGCUGGUCUGCAGCACUCUCUGGGGAGUAUCUGGAGGUCUGCAUAGACCAACCUGACCAGCAGAAACCUCUUGAACUGAUGAGAGUUUCCUUUCUGUUGCAUCGUGUUAGCUCAGAGCUUUGACCCUUCCUCUGUUCCUUUCCAGAUUUUGUUUUCAGGGUAGCUGCCCACAGGGUUGGUGAUGUGUGGCUCACAGUGGUUCCUGAUCAAAAAAUGUGGACAUUGAAGCCAAAAGAGUUUCAGACUGAACUGCACAAGCGUUUAUUGGCUCCUUUAGGACUGUGCUACAGCCUGCAGCGAGUACCCAUGAGCACAGCUAGCUGAUCCUGCCACCAGCAUCCUGUCCAGCUGGGGUGAUCGCAGCCACGGCAAACAAACUGCACGCAGAUUCAUUUCACUCUCAUUUUUGCAGCUCAAGCCAACUGGGAAUGUAAAACCACACUGACCAAGGGAGGGCAGGGAAAUUGCCAGUGAAUGCAGAAAGAAGAAAAGGAAGGAAAAUGUGGAAAGCAGGCGUUUAUAGAGUGUUGCUGAAGACCUUCUCCCAGGCUAAAAUGAGGAUCAGUUCCAGGUUUGCAGUCAUAUCAACAGUAGGAUGGUGAUUUAUUUCUAAGGUUCUGUUAUCUAUACCAGCAUAUUGUCUGCAUGAGGCAGUGUUUGGCGAGUGGUGCUGAGCUUACAGCCCCAAAAAGCCACUCCUGAAUAUUUGGUUAUCUGCAGCCAGCAUGUGCUGAUACUAGGAAAUGUUUGGAGCAGAGGUUACAUUUUGAAAUUAUGAAGUGCUGGCUUUGGUGCCAAGCUUAAGAGCUGAAUGGAGCUCCCAGGAAAUCUUGUACAAUUGAGCUGACCUCAGCAGACCUGCCCAAUAGAGCAGAACUGGGCUGUUUGCAUCUGCUGUGUGAUGUUCUUGGAGUCCCCCAGAUGAGAGGUGCUAUGGAGGCUUUAAAUGGUUGCUACCAUGCAUCAGUGGCUACAAAGCAUUAGUUACGGGCUUGGCUGUCCUGUUUUGGGGGACACUGCAUGGCUUUUGAGAGUCCGAUGUUGGUGAAAACACACUGGAUUGAGGAGUGGUGCUUCUGCUUUUCCCAAUCCCCUGUAAAAAUCUUCCCAGCAAAGAACGGGCCAUAAAUGUGUCAGAAAGUCAACCCAAGUGAAGAGAUUACCAUGGGUAAUCGCAAAGCAUGAUUUCAUUAGAGGAUUUCUUUACACAUGGGCAUGGACAUAAGAGUAACCCGAGCCACGGGAACCGUGUGUUUCUGAAGUAGGGCAUAGUGGCAGGAGACUUAUUAAUAUUCUGGAGAGAUACAUUGCAGAGAAGAUCCAGAAGACAACAUGGUCUAGUGGAAGGUGUCUCUGCCCAUGGCAGAAGGGUGGAACUGCAUGAUCUUUCAGGUCUCUACUCAAACCCUUCUGUGAUUCUAAGCAUCUGCAAAGACAGAAGCAGAAGGUUCAGCAGAGCCAGCCGUGGCUCAGUCCCUCCAGGUAAGAUGUUGUGGAUAAAGAAGCUCCUGAUGAGAGCCUUCCACCUGCCACUGCUUCUGCCCUCCCAGCUCUCACUGAACCACACUGCCCCUGUAGCAGGUGCCUCUUUUUCC